This 202-nucleotide long non-coding RNA is filed under the name Elaeis guineensis (African oil palm). RNAcentral's name for it is "long non-coding RNA (EGUI_LNC013468)". The record is from RNAcentral. Lineage: Eukaryota; Viridiplantae; Streptophyta; Magnoliopsida; Arecales; Arecaceae.
CGGUGAUUGGUGGGGAGAAGCUGCUUUGAUGGAUUCUAUAUUUCGAGAAAGCUGCUUAAAUUUCAUGUACUACGUAUGGUUAAAACAAAUAAAUGUGUACCGAAAAUAAAAAAGAGGGUGUAGCAGAUAAUUCCCAGUAACGGCCAAGGGAUACUUUUAACUUUACUUUUAUAUAAUAAAGUUGGGUGGCCUUUGCUUCCCU